ACAUGCAAGUCGAACGCGUUGGCCCAAUUGAUUGAUGGUGCUUGCACCUGAUUGAUUUUGGUCGCCAACGAGUGGCGGACGGGUGAGUAACACGUAGGUAACCUGCCCAGAAGCGGGGGACAACAUUUGGAAACAGAUGCUAAUACCGCAUAACAGCGUUGUUCGCAUGAACAACGCUUAAAAGAUGGCUUCUCGCUAUCACUUCUGGAUGGACCUGCGGUGCAUUAGCUUGUUGGUGGGGUAACGGCCUACCAAGGCGAUGAUGCAUAGCCGAGUUGAGAGACUGAUCGGCCACAAUGGGACUGAGACACGGCCCAUACUCCUACGGGAGGCAGCAGUAGGGAAUCUUCCACAAUGGGCGCAAGCCUGAUGGAGCAACACCGCGUGAGUGAAGAAGGGUUUCGGCUCGUAAAGCUCUGUUGUUAAAGAAGAACACGUAUGAGAGUAACUGUUCAUACGUUGACGGUAUUUAACCAGAAAGUCACGGCUAACUACGUGCCAGCAGCCGCGGUAAUACGUAGGUGGCAAGCGUUAUCCGGAUUUAUUGGGCGUAAAGAGAGUGCAGGCGGUUUUCUAAGUCUGAUGUGAAAGCCUUCGGCUUAACCGGAGAAGUGCAUCGGAAACUGGAUAACUUGAGUGCAGAAGAGGGUAGUGGAACUCCAUGUGUAGCGGUGGAAUGCGUAGAUAUAUGGAAGAACACCAGUGGCGAAGGCGGCUACCUGGUCUGCAACUGACGCUGAGACUCGAAAGCAUGGGUAGCGAACAGGAUUAGAUACCCUGGUAGUCCAUGCCGUAAACGAUGAGUGCUAGGUGUUGGAGGGUUUCCGCCCUUCAGUGCCGGAGCUAACGCAUUAAGCACUCCGCCUGGGGAGUACGACCGCAAGGUUGAAACUCAAAGGAAUUGACGGGGGCCCGCACAAGCGGUGGAGCAUGUGGUUUAAUUCGAAGCUACGCGAAGAACCUUACCAGGUCUUGACAUCUUGCGCCAACCCUAGAGAUAGGGCGUUUCCUUCGGGAACGCAAUGACAGGUGGUGCAUGGUCGUCGUCAGCUCGUGUCGUGAGAUGUUGGGUUAAGUCCCGCAACGAGCGCAACCCUUGUUACUAGUUGCCAGCAUUAAGUUGGGCACUCUAGUGAGACUGCCGGUGACAAACCGGAGGAAGGUGGGGACGACGUCAGAUCAUCAUGCCCCUUAUGACCUGGGCUACACACGUGCUACAAUGGACGGUACAACGAGUCGCGAACUCGCGAGGGCAAGCAAAUCUCUUAAAACCGUUCUCAGUUCGGACUGCAGGCUGCAACUCGCCUGCACGAAGUCGGAAUCGCUAGUAAUCGCGGAUCAGCAUGCCGCGGUGAAUACGUUCCCGGGCCUUGUACACACCGCCCGUCACACGGAUGAGAGUUUGUAACACCCAAAGUCGGUGGGGUAACCUUUUAGGAGCCAGCCG
This 1447-nucleotide ribosomal RNA is filed under the name Limosilactobacillus fermentum. RNAcentral's name for it is "bacterial SSU rRNA". It matches the Rfam family "Bacterial small subunit ribosomal RNA". The record is from RNAcentral. Lineage: Bacteria; Bacillati; Bacillota; Bacilli; Lactobacillales; Lactobacillaceae.